CUUCCCAUAGACCUGUUUAAAAUUUCUUUCCUCUCGUCUUCCACACCUAAUUUUACUAUUGUCUUAUUUCACUAGGCAAAGUUUCAAUGUUCUUGAAAUAUGGAUGUUAAAACACUCAGGAGAUUGCUUUCAUUGGAGAACAAAUCUUAGGCUGCAAAUCUAGUAUCACCUGCAUAGUACUUACAUGUAGAAAUUUCAGAUUCAGAACUCAAUCAAAAUGCAUAUUUCAAGUGUUAUAUUAACGUGUUUCUUUUAUAUUUAGGUGUUUUCAUUCACGGAUUAUUUCUGGAUGGAGCUUCCUGGAAUAGAAAGAUCAAGAAACUUGCAGAAUCGCAUCCCAAAAUUCUUUAUGAUACAGUGCCUGUGAUGUGGCUAAAGCCCUGUAAGAGGGCAGAUAUACCGAAACGGUCAAGUUAUGUUGCUCCAUUGUAUAAGACAAGUGAGCGGAGAGGAGUAUUAUCCACCACUGGCCAUUCCACGAAUUUUGUGAUUGCCAUGACUCUUCCCUCUGACCAACCCAAGGAACACUGGAUUGGACGAGGUGUAGCACUGUUAUGUCAACUUAAUUCAUAACCAGAAGACGUCAUUUCCUUGUUCCUAUUUCUUGUUGGCUGGCUAAGUAGAAAGCAUAUUUUACUACUUAAACCUUUUUUUUUUGUUUAAAUACAUUUGACUAAAGUUAUAAAAUUAUGAAUUUACUUAUGAGCAAAUGCAGAUAAACUUAAUAUGACUCA
This 734-nucleotide small RNA is filed under the name Pan troglodytes (chimpanzee). RNAcentral's name for it is "processed transcript". The record is from RNAcentral. Lineage: Eukaryota; Metazoa; Chordata; Mammalia; Primates; Hominidae.